Molecule: long non-coding RNA, 1503 nt
Filed under: Junco hyemalis (dark-eyed junco)
Lineage: Eukaryota; Metazoa; Chordata; Aves; Passeriformes; Passerellidae
Description: lncRNA (ENSJHYG00000011440.1)
Source: RNAcentral
GGAUGUGCAGAAGGCCAAACCCUGCCCCAGUGCCCUGUGCCAGCCUGGCUGGGCCCUGCACUGCCCCUGGCUCUGUGCAGACCAUGGUGGGGACAAAGGACCCAGGCCCGGGGACCCUGCCCCGGGGUGAGCCCUGGGGUUCUCCCUGGGGCUCACCCUGCCGUGGGCUCACCCUGGGGCUCAUUCUGCCCCAGGGCUCACCCUGCUCUGGUGUUCAUCCUUCCCUGGGGCUCUCCCUGCCCUGGGGUUUAUCCUGCCUUGGGGCUCACCCUGGGGCUCACCCUGCCCCGGGGCUCACCCUGCCCCGGGGCUCACCCUGCCCUGGGCUCACCCUGCCAUCCCCCUCUCCUAGGUCAGGGCUCUGUGCCAGGAGAUGCACAAGCAGAUCGAGGGCUGGAAGGCAGAGCCCAUGGCAGAGAACAUCUGGAGCAUCCAGCAGUCCCUUCCCUUGGUGAGCUGCCACUCUGGAGCUGCCCCUCACUGCUCUGCUCUGCUGCCCUGCAGCCCUUGGAGGCUCCCAGUGUGAAGGGCACCAGGCAGGAAGGGUGUGGAAUUCCAGGAGUGGAAUGUGGGAGCUCAUCCCAGCCCACCUGGAGCUCCCUGCACUCCUGCCAGCCUCUCUCCACCCCAGAGGAGGUGGCACAUUGUACAUGGUGUGCUGGGACAUGCUGCAGGGUUUGCUGGUGGGCAGCAAAGCAGAAGGAGGAAGAGGAGGCUGAGAUCUGCCUGUGGAGUGGGACUGCAGCCCCCAGUACCUCCUGUGUGCCCCAAGGUCUCUGCUCCUGUUCCCUGCACAUCCCACCAGGAGGCACAGCCUGGCACAGGCAGAGCCAGGGCAGCUCCAGUGAGCUCUGUUUGCUGCUCAGAAAAGGGCUGAGCUCAGGGGGAUGGGAGAAACAGCAGGAGGUGGAGACUGCCUGGGCCAGGCUGCCCUGGAUCCCACCCACCACAGCCCCUCCAUCCCACCCCAGCCUCUCCUUGGUGCCCUGGAUCCCACCCCAGCCCCUCCAUCCCACCCCAGCCCCUCCUUGGUGCCCUGGAUCCCACCACAGCCCCUGGAUCCCACCCCAGCCCCUCCUUGGUGCCCUGGAUCCCACCCCAGCCCCUCCAUCCCACCCCAGCCUCUCCUUGGUGCACGUGGGCACCCAAAACCCUUGGUUUGGGAGGAACCUUUUGAAAUUCAGCAAAGGCAAGUGCAGGGUCCUGUGCCCUGGGGUAUUAAUCCAGGAUCCCCCAGCACCCACAGCUCCAUGCCAUGGGUGCCCCAGCACGAGGCCACCCACAGCACAGACCCUGUGUCCAACACAGCUGAGUGCCAUGGGGACAGUGCUGGCUUUGGGGACAGCUCUGGCCCUGUUCCCUCUGGCUGUCACAGCCAGGAGCUGUGUGAUGCUCUGGCAUCAGACCCAUUUAGCCAGUGAUGGAGCUGUGGGGGUGCUGGUGGUGUCCUCCCAAUGGUUUCCCUCAUUCAGGAGUGGCAGCUCCAGGAUGGAGCCCCUCUGA